GCCACGUUGACUGUAUUAUUGGGAAAACCCUGAGGUUUUCUAUCACCCCAUGGUUACAGGAUAGAUCAGCUUUCACCAUUAGCUUACCGUGUUAAGUCUUUAUUCACAAGUGUCUGUGUAUGCAAAAUGUAGGUUUCUGGGUUCCUUGUACUGACCCAAGUGGCUCUGUCAGAUGUGUUUCUAAUUCCUGCUGGGUCCUGAGAGGGAAAGGCCAAUCUGACAGCUCUUCUGUAUUAUGCUAGGGACCAUCCCCUCCCUUGUUAGCCCUGAAAUGUCAAGAUGGAAAGGUCUCCACUUUAAUGACAUUCCCAGUUGCACAACAAGCCUGUUGAGAAGGGAGCAUGCUGCAUCCAUCAAGCAGAGUAGGUCAUGGCUGUUCAACAGUUUUACUAGAAAACCAGUGAUUUGAGAGGCUGAGGGAGGGUGAGCUGAUAGUAAAUAGUGCUUAAUGAGGUGCUUGGAUGUGCCUCCCAAGAUGAUCUCCAGGUCAUGCUGUCAGAGAUUUGCACUCUGACUCUACACAGGCCUUUUUACCUCCUGUCUGUGAAGCCAAGAUUGCCACAUGCAAGUUAUGUGAAAUGACCUUCAUACCAUCUCCUGCUAUCACAGGCUCCGUGUCAGCCACUCAUUUAGGAACUGUUGCAGGCUUUCAGCACUGUUAUUGGGGCAGUUUCUGGAUGGUACUCUCAGGAUCAGUUUGUUGUGGAAUAUUGAAAGCAGGAAAAAGAUCCUCUUCAUUCUCAUGGUGGCAAAUGAUCUGAUGAAAUGUAAAAUUGGAGCAUUUAUUACAUUGGGAGACCUUUACAAAGUUGGACUUUGAUGAAGAUGAUGAGUGGCCAGUCCUGCCUCAGAGUCUCCUCUGAUCUGUGGAAGCCUGGAAGCUGCUCCACAGAAUGGUCCUAUGCCUCGACACUGGUUUAUCAUCCACCAUGACCCCAAGCUCAUGGAUGAGGAAGGAAUGCCCAUAGCUGCUACCAUCCCCGCCCCUCUGGCUUCAGAAAAAUCACCAAGCUUGGAGCAUGACUGCCCCAGGAAGAAGGAGAAGUAACUGCAUUGCUCUGCUCAACACAUGGCAGCUUGCUCCUUUCCUCUCCAGAGAACAUUGACCUUCAAGGCCAUACAUGAUUAAAGGAUUGGGAGACAUUCCCUGGUAUUAGCUGUUCCCUCUUUCUUUUUCCUGCUUAAGGUAAGAGCUGCACAAACUCCCUUUAUAAUAGUCACCUAACAGAGAACACAAUGACUAAUCUGUCAUCAAAGUAUUUAGGGACGAUGACGAUACCUAGGUUGAUUUUCAGUGUAAUUUUUGUUUUUAUUUCACUGUGAUGUUUCUACAAAAUCCAUAAAUCAUAGGGAUGUGAUAAGAAACAGGUUGUAGUUGCUGGUUAUUCUUGUCCAGAUGCACAGAAACACCCUGAUUGUUACUUUCCAAUGACAACCAGCUCAGGGCUAAACAUUUUUCAGUUGCACAGCCAGCUUUCAAGGUUACACAUAGAUACUGAAUGAAACAGAGCCCACUGGUUAUUUUUAGAGAGGCUCUAAACAAGAAGCAAAUCCCUGGAGCAGUGCUGCCAGAGAUGCAUAAAGUUCAAAUCCAAAUUAAAACUGCCUAUCUUUGGCCUACAUUCCAACUUGAACUUGAAGAAAACUGUGAUCUGUGACUUGAACUUUAUGGCCAAAACUCAUUUGCAAUUAGUUUCUAAUACCUGAGAAUACAUGAACUUGGUACAAACACUUGAAAAAUAGAACUUGAAUGAAAAAUGUAAACACUUGUCCCAAAAUGUAGUACUUGUU
This 1791-nucleotide long non-coding RNA is filed under the name Junco hyemalis (dark-eyed junco). RNAcentral's name for it is "lncRNA (ENSJHYG00000000046.1)". Lineage: Eukaryota; Metazoa; Chordata; Aves; Passeriformes; Passerellidae. The record is from RNAcentral.